UACGAAGGGGGCUAGCGUUGUUCGGAUUUACUGGGCGUAAAGCGCACGUAGGCGGCUUUCUAAGUCGGGGGUGAAAUCCUGGAGCUCAACUCCAGAACUGCCUUCGAUACUGGAGCUUGAGUCCGGGAGAGGUGAGUGGAACUGCGAGUGUAGAGGUGAAAUUCGUAGAUAUUCGCAAGAACACCAGUGGCGAAGGCGGCUCACUGGCCCGGUACUGACGCUGAGGUGCGAAAGCGUGGGGAGCAAACAGGG
This 252-nucleotide ribosomal RNA is filed under the name uncultured bacterium. RNAcentral describes it as "partial 16S ribosomal RNA". It matches the Rfam family "Bacterial small subunit ribosomal RNA", at positions 524 to 777 of the family's 1533-position model. The record is from RNAcentral.